UACGUAGGUGGCAAGCGUUGUCCGGAUUUACUGGGCGUAAAGAGCGCGCAGGCGGUCGUUCAAGUCGCGUGUGAAAGCCCCCGGCUCAACUGGGGAGGGUCACGCGAUACUGAUCGACUCGAAGGCAGGAGAGGGUAGUGGAAUUCCCGGUGUAGUGGUGAAAUGCGUAGAUAUCGGGAGGAACACCAGUGGCGAAGGCGACUACCUGGCCUGUUCUUGACGCUGAGGCACGAAGGCCAGGGGAGCAAACGGG
Molecule: ribosomal RNA, 253 nt
Filed under: uncultured bacterium
Lineage: Bacteria
Description: partial 16S ribosomal RNA
Rfam family: Bacterial small subunit ribosomal RNA
Source: RNAcentral